GUGUCCGCUUCAGCAGCAUAUAUACUAAAAUUGGAACUAUACAGAGAAGAUUAGUAUGGCCCCUGUGCAAAGAAGACAUGCAAAUACGUGAAGUGUUCCAUAUUUUU
This is a small nuclear RNA of Peromyscus leucopus (white-footed mouse), 107 nucleotides long. The record is from RefSeq and is a predicted model, not a curated record. Lineage: Eukaryota; Metazoa; Chordata; Mammalia; Rodentia; Cricetidae.